This is a non-coding RNA of Ictidomys tridecemlineatus (thirteen-lined ground squirrel), 69 nucleotides long. NCBI's taxonomy places the organism in Eukaryota, Metazoa, Chordata, Mammalia, Rodentia, Sciuridae. The record is from Rfam.
GGAGUUGUAGCUCAAAGGUAAAGCACUUGCCUCAUACGUGUGAGGCACUAGGUUCGAUUCCUAGCACCA